GGGAACUGCUUCUUGCCACAGGCCUUUCUUUCUCUCUCCCUGCCUCAACCUGGCUAAGUAGGUAUAGAGCUGCUAUUGCCUCUGUCAUGCUACGCAAGAGUGAACGUUCUUCUGUCCACCUGAGGAUUGAUUCCAUACCACUGGUAUGUGGUGAAAGAGUAUGUGGACAUCAAGAAACCAUGAUUCUUCCAUGAACUUGAUCAUUCUGCUGAUGUUUCUAUGGAAUGCUCACUCUGCAGUGACACAAGAACAUGCCCAAACCCAAGACCUCAGAUGUCAUCAGACCCACGGAAUGAUUUCAGCACAUUACGCCCUACCAGCUGCUGCAUAAUUAUGACUUUUCCAUUAAAAGCUGGACUUAAUCAUAUGAGAAACUUGGAGAUGUUGGAUUGUAUCAAAGGUGUCCUUCCCUUGAAAUAAAUGGUCCUUGUGUAAAUGA
This is a long non-coding RNA of Rhineura floridana, 439 nucleotides long. RefSeq lists it as uncharacterized. Lineage: Eukaryota; Metazoa; Chordata; Lepidosauria; Squamata; Rhineuridae. The transcript is spliced from 3 exons. The record is from RefSeq and is a predicted model, not a curated record.